Molecule: ribosomal RNA, 200 nt
Filed under: uncultured Glomus
Lineage: Eukaryota; Fungi; Glomeromycota; Glomeromycetes; Glomerales; Glomeraceae
Description: partial small subunit ribosomal RNA
Rfam family: Eukaryotic small subunit ribosomal RNA
Source: RNAcentral
CCAAUAGCGUAUAUUAAAGUUGCUGCAGUUAAAAAGCUCGUAGUUGAAUUUCGGGAUCAAUAUGUUGGUCGUGCCUCGGUACGUACUAGCUUAUUGGUUUCUCCCUUCUGACGAACCAUGAUGUCAUUUAUUUGGUGUUAUGGGAAAUCAGGACUGUUACUUUGAAAAAAUUAGAGUGUUUAAAGCAGGCUCACGCUUGA